GGAAAAGUGUCCGAGUGGUUUAUGGUGCAGACUUGGAAAGUCUGUGUAAUUUAUAUUACCGAGGGUUCAAAUCCCUCCUUUUCCG
This 85-nucleotide transfer RNA is filed under the name Oogamochlamys gigantea. RNAcentral describes it as "tRNA-Ser". It matches the Rfam family "tRNA". From Rfam's summary of the family: Transfer RNA (tRNA) molecules are approximately 80 nucleotides in length. Their secondary structure includes four short double-helical elements and three loops (D, anti-codon, and T loops). The record is from RNAcentral. Lineage: Eukaryota; Viridiplantae; Chlorophyta; Chlorophyceae; Chlamydomonadales; Chlamydomonadaceae.